UUUCCCGGUGUAGCGGUGAAAUGCGUAGAUAUCGGGAAGAACACCAGUGGCGAAGGCGCUCUGCUGGGCCAUCACUGACGCUCAUGGACGAAAGCCAGGGGAGCGAAAGGGAUUAGAUACCCCUGUAGUCCUGGCCGUAAACGAUGAACACUAGGUGUCGGGGGAAUCGACCCCUCCGGUGUCGUAGCCAACGCGUUAAGUGUUCCGCCUGGGGAGUACGCACGCAAGUGUGAAACUCAAAGGAAUUGACGGGGGCCCGCACAAGCGGUGGAGUAUGUGGUUUAAUUCGAUGCAACGCGAAGAACCUUACCAGGGUUUGACAUCCUGCGAAUUUCUUGGAAACUUGAGAGUGCCUUCGGGAGCGCAGUGACAGGUGGUGCAUGGCUGUCGUCAGCUCGUGUCGUGAGAUGUUGGGUUAAGUCCCGCAACGAGCGUAACCCACGUCUUUAGUUGCCAGCAUUUAGUUGGGCACUCUAGAGAGACCGCCGGUGAUAAACCGGAGGAAGGUGUGGAUGACGUCAAGUCAUCAUGCCCCUUACAUCCUGGGCUACACACGUACUACAAUGCUACGGACAAAGGGCAGCAAGUUCGCGAGGACAAGCAAAUCCCAUAAACCGUGGCUCAGUUCAGAUCGUAGGCUGCAACUCGCCUACGUGAAGGAGGAAUCGCUAGUAAUCGCAGGUCAGCAUACUGCGGUGAAUACGUUCCCGGGUUUUGUACACACCGCCCG
This 730-nucleotide ribosomal RNA is filed under the name uncultured bacterium. RNAcentral describes it as "SSU rRNA". It matches the Rfam family "Bacterial small subunit ribosomal RNA", at positions 666 to 1396 of the family's 1533-position model. The record is from RNAcentral.